GAUGAACGCUGGCGGCGUGCUUAACACAUGCAAGUCGAACGAAGCACUUUAUUUGAUUUCCUUCGGGACUGAUUAUUUUGUGACUGAGUGGCGGACGGGUGAGUAACGCGUGGGUAACCUGCCUUGUACAGGGGGAUAACAGUUGGAAACGGCUGCUAAUCCCGCAUAAGCGCACGGCAUCGCAUGAUGCAGUGUGAAAAACUCCGGUGGUAUAAGAUGGACCCGCGUUGGAUUAGCUAGUUGGUGAGGUAACGGCCCACCAAGGCGACGAUCCAUAGCCGACCUGAGAGGGUGACCGGCCACAUUGGGACUGAGACACGGCCCAAACUCCUACGGGAGGCAGCAGUGGGGAAUAUUGCACAAUGGGCGAAAGCCUGAUGCAGCGACGCCGCGUGAGCGAAGAAGUAUUUCGGUAUGUAAAGCUCUAUCAGCAGGGAAGAUAAUGACGGUACCUGACUAAGAAGCACCGGCUAAAUACGUG
RNAcentral lists this ribosomal RNA (481 nucleotides) under uncultured bacterium. RNAcentral describes it as "partial 16S ribosomal RNA". It matches the Rfam family "Bacterial small subunit ribosomal RNA", at positions 28 to 507 of the family's 1533-position model. The record is from RNAcentral.